UGGCUAGGAGAACGCUGUGCGGCGUGCCUAAUACAUGCAAGUAGAACUAUAAAGAGAGGAGCUUGCUCUUCUUGGAUGAGUUGCGAACGGGUGAGUAACGCGUAGGUAACCUGCCUUGUAGCGGGGGAUAACUAUUGGAAACGAUAGCUAAUACCGCAUAACAAUGGAUGACACAUGUCAUUUAUUUGAAAGGGGCAAUUGCUCCACUACAAGAUGGACCUGCGUUGUAUUAGCUAGUAGGUGAGGUAAUGGCUCACCUAGGCGACGAUACAUAGCCGACCUGAGAGGGUGAUCGGCCACACUGGGACUGAGACACGGCCCAGACUCCUACGGGAGGCAGCAGUAGGGAAUCUUCGGCAAUGGGGGCAACCCUGACCGAGCAACGCCGCGUGAGUGAAGAAGGUUUUCGGAUCGUAAAGCUCUGUUGUAAGUCAAGAACGGGUGUGAGAGUGGAAAGUUCACACUGUGACGGUAGCUUACCAGAAAGGGACGGCUAACUACGUGCCAGCAGCCGCGGUAAUACGUAGGUCCCGAGCGUUGUCCGGAUUUAUUGGGCGUAAAGCGAGCGCAGGCGGUUUGAUAAGUCUGAAGUUAAAGGCUGUGGCUCAACCAUAGUUCGCUUUGGAAACUGUCAAACUUGAGUGCAGAAGGGGAGAGUGGAAUUCCAUGUGUAGCGGUGAAAUGCGUAGAUAUAUGGAGGAACACCGGUGGCGAAAGCGGCUCUCUGGUCUGUAACUGACGCUGAGGCUCGAAAGCGUGGGGAGCGAACAGGAUUAGAUACCCUGGUAGUCCACGCCGUAAACGAUGAGUGCUAGGUGUUGGAUCCUUUCCGGGAUUCAGUGCCGCAGCUAACGCAUUAAGCACUCCGCCUGGGGAGUACGACCGCAAGGUUGAAACUCAAAGGAAUUGACGGGGGCCCGCACAAGCGGUGGAGCAUGUGGUUUAAUUCGAAGCAACGCGAAGAACCUUACCAGGUCUUGACAUCCCGAUGCUAUUUCUAGAGAUAGAAAGUUACUUCGGUACAUCGGUGACAGGUGGUGCAUGGUUGUCGUCAGCUCGUGUCGUGAGAUGUUGGGUUAAGUCCCGCAACGAGCGCAACCCCUAUUGUUAGUUGCCAUCAUUCAGUUGGGCACUCUAGCGAGACUGCCGGUAAUAAACCGGAGGAAGGUGGGGAUGACGUCAAAUCAUCAUGCCCCUUAUGACCUGGGCUACACACGUGCUACAAUGGUUGGUACAACGAGUUGCGAGUCGGUGACGGCGAGCUAAUCUCUUAAAGCCAAUCUCAGUUCGGAUUGUAGGCUGCAACUCGCCUACAUGAAGUCGGAAUCGCUAGUAAUCGCGGAUCAGCACGCCGCGGUGAAUACGUUCCCGGGCCUUGUACACACCGCCCGUCACACCACGAGAGUUUGUAACACCCGAAGUCGGUGAGGUAACCUUUUGGAGCCAGCCGCCUAAGGUGGGACAGAUGAUUGGGGU
This 1476-nucleotide ribosomal RNA is filed under the name Streptococcus thermophilus. RNAcentral's name for it is "bacterial SSU rRNA". It matches the Rfam family "Bacterial small subunit ribosomal RNA". Lineage: Bacteria; Bacillati; Bacillota; Bacilli; Lactobacillales; Streptococcaceae. The record is from RNAcentral.